Molecule: unclassified non-coding RNA, 399 nt
Filed under: Hevea brasiliensis (rubber tree)
Lineage: Eukaryota; Viridiplantae; Streptophyta; Magnoliopsida; Malpighiales; Euphorbiaceae
Source: RNAcentral
ACGAGGACUUAGCUCUCCUCUCAGUUCACUAACACGAGGGCUAUAUACCUUAUCUGAAAACCGUGGGCUGUGAAUGGUCUUGAAUUCUUUGGAUGGAGUUGAAGUGGAGCUUGCAACCCUGGGGCUGCGAAUGCUUUUUAUCUCACCUCUGCUUCGAGUGAUCAUCCCAUCUAGAAUUUCCCCAUCAUCUGCAAAUGAGGCUGACCUACUCAUCUCUGCCUCAGUUGCUAGAUUGAAUGGUAAGGCUGGAGCCUCUUCGUACUCUGCAGCAUCCAGAUCCUGGAGGUGGGCUCCUUUGAAAAACUUGGGCAAAAUGUAUUGUCUCACAGGAACCAAAAGCAUGAUCAUUAAAGGGAAAAGAACCCCAGCAAUUGGAAUCCAUGUAAUGCCAAAACAGAC